UAUUUUUACUACAUCUUGGUCUCGGUUUAGCAGGAGCAUAGAACUAAAGCCACACACACAGUUCCCCUGAGUCAUUAUCUAAGUUCUAAUAGAGGAUGUUUUUUAGUUAAACGUUUCCAUUACACCCCGGGGUAAAAAUAGUAAAAAAGAAAAAAAAAGAAGGUGUGCAAUCGGAGGAUGGAUCAAAAGGUCACCCAUCGUAGUACUACACUGAACCAAAUACGUUUAAUUUAAGAGUGAUCACAGG
This 247-nucleotide long non-coding RNA is filed under the name Linum usitatissimum (flax). RNAcentral's name for it is "long non-coding RNA (LUSI_LNC004746)". Lineage: Eukaryota; Viridiplantae; Streptophyta; Magnoliopsida; Malpighiales; Linaceae. The record is from RNAcentral.